UUCUGUGUCCGGGUCCCGUACAUUUUGAGCUCCCUUUCUCUUCCUCCGUCUCCUUCCCCUUUCUCAUGCCUGAACCCCCUUCGCUUCUUGAUACUUGAUUCUCUAAAUCGAUGCUCGAUAGAUCCCAAAAGAGAGGAAUCCCACGAUGUCCCUCGUCCAACUCGCCUUCCCCUCGGUCUCCUUCGCCACUUCCAUCCCCCCUCCCGAGCUCAAACCCAAAAAUACUAACCCCACCUUCUCUCGCCUCAACGGCAUCACCACCCGUUCCGGGAGACCCGAUUCCUUAUUAAGAGUGGUGUUUCCGGCGUGGUCUUCUUCGAGGAGGCAGCGGAGGCAAUGCCGCGGGGUCGUCUGCUACGCCACGCCGGUCAGCCCCCAGACGCUGCAGUGGGUUUCGGCCGUCUCCGCCGCAAAGAUCAAGAAAGAGACACGGAGAGUGUGUCAGAAAAAAGAAGGGGUAUUAAUGCUGGCUAAAGGCACUACCAUCCAAAAAUCAUUUCUUGUUCCUUUGUUUGCACUGCAAGCACCUACAAGCAUCAUCUCAUGGAUUAAGGGUGAAUAUGGUACUUGGACUGUUUUUUUGGCACUGCUGCUCCGUUUAUUCUACUUCAUUCCAGGGGAACUGGUUUUACCUUUCUUAACAAUGCUGCUUGUGAUAGUCGCUCCUUAUCAAGCCAUGAACCUUAGGUAAGUUGGUGCCCCGUGCAUGAAGAUCUACCCUGCAACAAGAGAAAUAUAUGUUCCAAUUUCUUUUUUAGAGAGGAACUCAAGCUGGUACAAUUAUGUCCUUGGCAAUUGCUGGGUUAUUGGCUUUCCAACAUUUCUCAAGGAUUGGAAGCUUGAGAAGGGCAUUUGAUCAAGGAUCAAUUGUUGCAACCUUGGCUGUCAUCUGCACUUUUAUUGUUCCAUGCUUGUUUUUGUUAUGAUCUUGUUUGCAUCAAGAAGCCUUCAAGUGGAUAUAGAAAAUGAGAAGGCUGUUGAGGAAGACCUGAUCUAUUCCAGCUUUCUGAACAAAGGUUCCAAAAGUAAGAUUUUUGAUGAUAUAUGUUGGGAUAAGUGCAACAUUACUUGUUAGUUCAUAAAAUCUUUAGGAGUUACCAAAAUAAUGGUAGAAUCUGUAUGUACGAUGAUAUAUGUUGGAACAAAGACCCCGUUACAAGCAUUUUCUUAAAAAUUUCAAGAUAGGAAGUGUCUUGAAUUUAUUACAUGAUCUCCAUUUUUUCUU
Molecule: RNA transcript, 1225 nt
Organism: Elaeis guineensis (African oil palm)
Lineage: Eukaryota; Viridiplantae; Streptophyta; Magnoliopsida; Arecales; Arecaceae
Gene name: cold-regulated 413 inner membrane protein 1, chloroplastic
Source: RefSeq, a predicted model, not a curated record